AUACUACUCCCUCCGUUCGGAAUUACUUGUCUUGAAAAUGGAUGUAUCUAGAAUUAAAAUACGUCUAGAUAUAUCCAUUUUCGCGACAAGUAAUUCCGAACGGAGGGAGGUAGUAG
Triticum aestivum (bread wheat) is the source of this 116-nucleotide non-coding RNA. Lineage: Eukaryota; Viridiplantae; Streptophyta; Magnoliopsida; Poales; Poaceae. The record is from Rfam.